Pseudoliparis swirei is the source of this 1928-nucleotide RNA transcript. RefSeq lists it as uncharacterized. NCBI's taxonomy places the organism in Eukaryota, Metazoa, Chordata, Actinopteri, Perciformes, Liparidae. The transcript has 6 exons. The record is from RefSeq and is a predicted model, not a curated record.
AGAGACGAGAGAGGAGAGGAGCGAUGGCUGAGCUCAGAUGGAUUAAAGCCUCUUGGUUUCUGGUUCUGGUGCUUCAGUUUACAGCAGCAGCAACAGGACAACAUUACCUCUCCUUCACUGUCAGAGAUGGAGAUGAAGUCUCUUUGCCUUGUAAAAGUGUGAUGGAUGAUCAUAAGAACUGUGACUUUCCUGUUUGGAUCUUUGAUGAUUUAAAGAGAACAGUAGCAGUAUAUCUGGUGACAGAAGGGCAGAUUGUUGCUGAAGCCAAAGAUAAAUCAGACAGACUGAGUGUUUCAGAGAAUUGUUCUCUGGUUAUAAAGAAGGUCACCGAUGAAGAUGCUGGUCGUUAUAGAUGCAGAUAUCUCAGCUUAAGAGGAAGAUAUUCUUCUGUGGUUAUUCUGUCUGUUGUGACCAUGACUGAACACAAGGACUCUGAGGAGGUGACGCUGAUCUGCUCUGUGUCCACAUAUAGAACACUAUGUAGACACAGAGUGAAGUGGCUGAUUCAAGGUCCAGAUAUCAUAAACACGACAACAUCCCAGUCUCCUUGCUCAGCCAAUUUGUCAUUUUCAGCUUCUCAUUUCCUUCCGAUAAUUUCCGAGUUGCUCCAGUGUGAAGUGACUGACGGUUACUCUGGAGAGGUGCAGGUGUUUCCCUUCAGCCCGCCUCCGUCCUCAGGUGAAGAUCCAACAACAACAACAACAACAGUUUGGUCCGUCCUGGACUACUGCAUGCUGGUUCUCCGCUUGGCUGAACUCCUGCUGGUGACUGUGGUUGUUGUUCUCCUCGUCAGAGCUGGGGGUGAGGACGUUCUGCCGCUCCACACUGAUCUAACACCAGCUGUACGUUGAGAGCUGAAAGGUCCCCUGUGGUUCUUGUUUCUCUGCAGGGAACCGGAGACCACGUGAUCCCAACACCGUGAGUUAAAAAUCAAAAAGAACCGAUGAAAACCGCCCGGGUCUUGAAACGCAGGUUGUUACCGCGACGCAGAGUUUUCAACUCGGUAAGAAGCGUCGGCCGUUUGAGGCGUCGCAACAACAUGAACCGCAGCUUCAGCUCCACAGGGAUCUGUUCCGCUCCGGGGCGAAGGCAGGGCUCACCUGGACAGGUGGACAGCUCGUCCCGGGUCACAUGCAUAGAGACAGACAACCACACACACACCUUCGUCUCCAAUUAACCCCAGCUGCUUGUCUCUGGACUGUGGGAGGGAACCGGAGAACCCGAAGAGAACCCACGUUGCCACGGGGGAGAACGUGUAAACUCCACACAGGAGGACCGCCUGGGAUCGGGGAUCGAACCCGGACCCCCUGUUGCUGUGAGGUGGCUAGCCCUCGUUUUGUUCUCCAUUGGGCAUCUGUUAGUGGAUUCACCCACAGUGCCCGGUGAUGGAGGCGGCCAUGAAGGCGCCGUGAACUAUGAAAACGUGGGCGGCCCUUCUGUUUGUGUCCGGCUCCCCUGAACGACGGCCUCCACAGCCCACGUCGCCUCAGCAGAGAGAUGCUCCCCUGCAGUUACACGUCUGUUAUUUGCAAGUUGAGGAACCGAUCAACUAAAUUCUCACCAUGCAGCCUGAUAUUAAAGCAUCGUUUUAUCUCAUUUAAAGAAGCAUUUAAAACAACGUUUAAUUUGUUCCUGCAUCAGAAAAUCUUAUGUUUUUAAGAAUUCUUCCACUUCGAUUUGGGCCUGUAGAUUUUUUUCCGAUUGAUUUUUUAAAUUUGUAAGUAGAUUAGCAUGAACUCACUCUCAUGCAGAAUAACUCAUUUUAAUUCACUUUGAUGUGGAAUUGUUGAUUGGAAUACAAUGUGUUUUUGCUAAUGUUAUGCUAAUGCUAAUGCUAGGUUUGAGCUUUGUUUCUUAAUGGCGUCAGUAACAGCGUCGUCUUCAUUAUAACUGCUCGUCAAAUAUUAAAUUAUUCUAUUUCAUUGAAA